This 231-nucleotide ribosomal RNA is filed under the name uncultured Staphylococcus sp. RNAcentral's name for it is "partial 16S ribosomal RNA". It matches the Rfam family "Bacterial small subunit ribosomal RNA", at positions 109 to 334 of the family's 1533-position model. The record is from RNAcentral. Lineage: Bacteria; Bacillati; Bacillota; Bacilli; Caryophanales; Staphylococcaceae.
AGUAACACGUGGAUAACCUACCUAUAAGACUGGGAUAACUUCGGGAAACCGGAGCUAAUACAGGAUAAUAUUUUGAACCGCAUGGUUCAAAAGUGAAAGACGGUCUUGCUGUCACUUAUAGAUGGAUCCGCGCUGCAUUAGCUAGUUGGUAAGGUAACGGCUUACCAAGGCAACGAUGCAUAGCCGACCAGAGAGGGUGAUCGGCCACACUGGAACUGAGACACGGUCCAG